AAAGGGCAUCACAGGCCCUGAUUUUGCCCCAAAAGUCCAUCGGCCUGACCCAAUAGUCCCUCUUAAGAAGCCCGGCGACCAGCCAAAGCUAGCCUGGCUAUUUAGCAGGUUAAGGUCUCGUUCGCUAUCGCAAUUAAGCAGACAAAUCACUGCACCAACUAAGAACGGCCAUGCACCACCACCUGAAAAAUCAAGAAAGAGCUCUCAAUCUGUCAAUCCUUAUUUCAUCUGGACCUGGUGAGUUUCCCCGUGUUGAGUCAAAUUAACCGGCAGGCUCCACGCCUGGUGGUGCCCUUCCGUCAAUUUCUUUAAGUUUCAGCCUUGCGACCAUACUCCCCCCAGAACCCAAAAACUUUGAUUUCUCGUAAGGUGCCGAGCGAGUCAGAAAAAGAACAUCGCCCGAUCCCUAGUCGGCAUAGUUUACGGUUAAGACUACGGGGGUAUCUGAUCGUCUUCGUCCCCUAAAUUCGUCUCUGAUUAAGGAAA
This 486-nucleotide ribosomal RNA is filed under the name Pleosporales sp. JP91. Its description in RNAcentral is "partial 18S ribosomal RNA". The record is from RNAcentral. Lineage: Eukaryota; Fungi; Ascomycota; Dothideomycetes; Pleosporales.